This 465-nucleotide ribosomal RNA is filed under the name uncultured bacterium. RNAcentral describes it as "partial 16S ribosomal RNA". It matches the Rfam family "Bacterial small subunit ribosomal RNA", at positions 338 to 795 of the family's 1533-position model. The record is from RNAcentral.
CCUACGGGAUGCAGCAGUGGGGAAUAUUGCGCAAUGGGCGAAAGCCUGACGCAGCGACGCCGCGUGAGGGAUGAAGGUCUUCGGAUCGUAAACCUCUGUCAGCAGGGAAGAACGGUCACUGUGCUAAUCAGCAGUGAAUUGACGGUCCCUUCAAAGGAAGCACCGGCUAACUCCGUGCCAGCAGCCGCGGUAAUACGGAGGGUGCGAGCGUUAAUCGGAAUUACUGGGCGUAAAGCGCUCGUAGGCGGUAUGUCAAGUCAAGGGUGAAAUCCCCGCGCUCAACGUGGGAACUGCCUUUGAAACUGGCAAACUGGAGUGUGUGAGAGGAUAGUGGAAUUCCAGGGGUAGGAGUGAAAGCCGUAGAUAUCUGGAGGAUCAUCAGUGGCGAAGGCGACUAUCUGGCACAUAACUGACGCUGAGGAGCGAAAGCGUGGGUAGCAAACAGGAUUAGAUACCCUUGUAGUC